GCUGGGCUUGGUAACACGAGCUUGUAACCCAAGUGGGAGCAUUAAGAUGGUGGAACAGUUGGGCUAGCCUUGAAGGCUGGGCUGGGGUUGCUAUCUACUGGCCUGCCUGUUCCAAGUGGUGAGUUGUGUGGUGGAGUCUCUGCGAAGGCAGAGGCUUGACUGUCCUUAGAUCGGAGGGCACUGCGUGAGGCUGGCUUAACAGAGCAGCGAUAACCUCCUCCUCAUUGUGGUGGAAGGAUAACUGGCCGGUGUAACCUCUGUCCACCAGUGCCUGAUGGGCUGCCCAAGUGAACCACCAUCUUU
This 303-nucleotide signal recognition particle RNA is filed under the name Ipomoea nil (Japanese morning glory). RNAcentral describes it as "Plant signal recognition particle RNA". It matches the Rfam family "Plant signal recognition particle RNA". The record is from Rfam by way of RNAcentral. Lineage: Eukaryota; Viridiplantae; Streptophyta; Magnoliopsida; Solanales; Convolvulaceae.